GUUCAUGCAGCUUACUCCAUCCUGUACUUGGCUUCAGUGGAGAUUCCUUACUGGCCUGACACGUCUUCGUGAAUUGCUUGCUCCUCCCUCCGUCUGUGGUUGCCUACAUUCUUAUUAGGUCUCAAACCUGGAGGAAGGAGAGAGGAACCUCCUGCUGUUGAAUGCAGUCCUCCACUGCCCAGCUCUGCCAGAUCCUCAACUCGCACCAAGCAGGCACUGGGCUGUGCUGUUAACGUGUCUGGGCUUUCCAGAGCCUCAGCAGGAUUUAGCAGUCACGAUGUCCGACUCCAGUCCCUCCAGAGCACAGACCACUCCUGUUGACCCGACUGCCUGAAGUCCUCAGCCAUCAGGAGAGUAUUGGCAAGAAGUAGUGUGUACCAGGACAAAUUCCUGCCAAUCCUAUGCUGAGUAAAGCAAGAGGAAUUGCCUGUGAACAGAGAGAGCACCCUCAACAUCAGGAUUCAUUCCAGCACUUUGGAUUUCCCGGGGAUGACUGCAGCUUUAAGAGAGGACUUUGACCCACUGGAGAAGAGGGUAACGCAUAGGAAAGGGAGAGCGAACUGUCUUCUGUUGUUGAUUUUUUACUAAACCAACUGAUUUCCAAAUGCAAGGGUGGAUGGUGACUGUGCUGUAGCUAUCUGCCACCUUGUCUUCUGGAAGAGCGCAUACAGCCUACCUGAUCUGCCAUGAGCUGCUGCUUUGCUGUAACUUUGACCGAUGGCAAAUGAUGGGACCAGGAAAUAAAGGUCUGCUCUCAGCACUCAGUAACACUACCAAGGAGGGCAGGACCUUGACCACAUGGAACAUCUAUCCAGGUUUGGAAAAGGUUACCUACAACAGACUCAAAGUUGUUUAUCAGUUUCCACAUGUCUAACCUCCAUCUGAGUGCUCAGAAUUGGGGUGCUUGUACUUAGGUUUCAAAUCAGUAUGCCCUGGUAAGCCUCAUGGCUCCGAAUCAGCAUGAUGUUAACUUUCUGAAAGCAAGAAUCUGUGGCUCCUAGAAUUUCUUGAGAAGAUUGUAUAUGCAUGUGAUGGAUCCCCUUCUAAAGAAGCCAUCUGCAGAAGGCUCUUGCAUACUAGCUUCGUGCACCUCCUUGGCUGCCUGCCUUCUUUUGGAGAAGACGACUAUUCACUCCUCUGACCUGAGGCUCAGUUCAUCAGAUUCCGAAGCCAUCCCUGCCUGGGCAAAGUGACUAUCUCUGGUGGGGCCGGGGGCGAGGAAGGAAGGAAGGAGCACACUCUUAUCUGAACUGCAAACCUAUCGCUUACAAUAGUUUUCAUGAGGGGUGACAAGUCUCUUAUUUCUUCAGAAUGUUUAUUUCCAUUUUACACAUGCUCCCAACUUCCCUUCCUCCUUGCACUUUCCUUGCUUUUGUACCCUGUAACUUUCAUCAGUUUGUUUCUUUCCUUUCAGAUGUGUUCAAGGCGCAGCAAGAGUUGAUACAAUCUAAU
This is a long non-coding RNA of Cygnus atratus (black swan), 1452 nucleotides long. RefSeq lists it as uncharacterized. The transcript has 4 exons. The record is from RefSeq and is a predicted model, not a curated record. Lineage: Eukaryota; Metazoa; Chordata; Aves; Anseriformes; Anatidae.